UAUGGCAGUCAUACCCCCUGCUGCUCUGGCUAGGUAAUUCAUCUGAAGCUAAGCCAGUUUGGGCCUGGCCAGUACUUGGAUGGGAGGCCGAGUAGGAAAGCUGGGUUGCUGCUGGGA
Molecule: ribosomal RNA, 117 nt
Filed under: Paramormyrops kingsleyae
Lineage: Eukaryota; Metazoa; Chordata; Actinopteri; Osteoglossiformes; Mormyridae
Source: RNAcentral